This 423-nucleotide ribosomal RNA is filed under the name uncultured bacterium. RNAcentral's name for it is "partial 16S ribosomal RNA". It matches the Rfam family "Bacterial small subunit ribosomal RNA", at positions 360 to 775 of the family's 1533-position model. The record is from RNAcentral.
AAUAUUGGACAAUGGGGGCAACCCUGAUCCACCCUUGCAGCGUGUGUGAAGAAGGUCUUCGGAUUGUAAAGCACUUUAAGUUGGGAGGAGGGGCUUUAGGUUAUUACCCUGAAGUUUUGACGUUACCAACAGAAUAGUCACGGGUAAACUCUGUGCCAGCAGCCGCGGUAAUACAGAGGGUGCAAGCGUUAAUCGGAAUUACUGGGCGUAAAGCGCGCGUAGGUGGUUCAGUAAGAUGGGUGUGAAAUCCCCGGGCUUAACCUGGGAACUGCUUUCAUAACUGCUGAGCUAGAGUACGGUAGAGGGUAGUGGAAUUUCCUGUGUAGCGGUGAAAUGCGUAGAUAUAGGAAGGAACACCAGUGGCGAAGGCGACUACCUGGACUGAUACUGACACUGAGGUGCGAAAGCGUGGGGAGCAAACAG